CAUUUGGAGUCAUUUGACUCCACCUACACUCAGAAAAACAAAGUU
Non-coding RNA from Fulmarus glacialis (Northern fulmar), 45 nucleotides. The record is from Rfam. Lineage: Eukaryota; Metazoa; Chordata; Aves; Procellariiformes; Procellariidae.